GACGAACGCUGGCGGCGUGCCUAAUACAUGCAAGUAGAACGCAGUUGCGCACGGGUGAGAAACGCGUAGGUAACUAUCUAGUAGAGGGGGAUAACUAAUGGAGACGAUAGCUAAUACCGCAUAAUCGUAUAUGGACCUGCUUUGUAUUAGCUAGUAGGUUGGGUAAUGGCCUACCAAGGCAACGAUACAUAGCCGACGUGUGAGGGUGAGCGGCCACGCUGGGACUGAGACACGGCCCAGAAUCCUACGGGAAGCAGCAGUAGGGAAUCUUCGGCAAUGGGGGGAACGCUUACCGGGCAACGCCGCGGGAGUGAAGAAGGUUUUCGGAUCGUAAAGCUCUGUUGUUAAGGAAGCGGUACUUAACCAGAAAGGGACGGCUAACUACGUGCCAGCAGCCGCGGUAAUAC
This 407-nucleotide ribosomal RNA is filed under the name uncultured bacterium. RNAcentral's name for it is "partial 16S ribosomal RNA". It matches the Rfam family "Bacterial small subunit ribosomal RNA", at positions 28 to 526 of the family's 1533-position model. The record is from RNAcentral.